This 393-nucleotide ribosomal RNA is filed under the name uncultured euryarchaeote. RNAcentral's name for it is "bacterial SSU rRNA". It matches the Rfam family "Archaeal small subunit ribosomal RNA", at positions 88 to 483 of the family's 1478-position model. Lineage: Archaea; Methanobacteriati; Methanobacteriota. The record is from RNAcentral.
GCUCAUUAACACGUGAAUAACCUGCCCUAUGCUCUGGAAUAACCUUGGGAAACUGAAAAUAAUACCGGAUAGAUCACACCGCCUGGAACGGUGUGUGGUUGAAAGGUCACGGAAUAGGAUGGGUCUGCGGCUUAUCAGGUCGUAGGGGGUGUAACGAACCUCCUACCCAUCGACGCGUACGGGUUGUGGAAGCAAUACCCCGAAGAUGGAUUCUAAGACACGAAUCCACACCCUACGGGGUGCAGCAGGCGCAAAACUUUUACACUGUACGCAAGCGCAAUAAGGGGACCCCAAGUGCGAGGGCAUAUAUUCUUCUUUUUUCCCGACUGUAAGGCGGUCGAGGAAUAAGGGCUGGGCACGACCGGUGCCAGCCGCCGCGUUAAUACCGGCAGC